RNAcentral lists this ribosomal RNA (505 nucleotides) under uncultured Lachnospiraceae bacterium. Its description in RNAcentral is "partial 16S ribosomal RNA". Lineage: Bacteria; Bacillati; Bacillota; Clostridia; Lachnospirales; Lachnospiraceae. The record is from RNAcentral.
CACGUAUUUAGCCGGUGCUUCUAUUCAGGUACCGUCAUUUCUUCUUCCCUGCCGAUAGAGCUUUACAUACCGAAAUACUUCCUCGCCCACGCGGCGUCGCUGCAUCAGGGUUCCCCCCAUUGUGCAAUAUUCCCCACUGCUGCCUCCCGCAGGAGUCUGGGCCGUGUCUCAGUCCCAAUGUGGCCGGCCGCCCUCUCAGGCCGGCUACUGAUCGUCGGUUUGGUGGGCCGCUGCCCCCGCCAACUGCCUAAUCAGACGCGGGCCCAUCCCAUACCACCGGAGUUUUCCGCUGGGAGCCAUGCGGCCCCAGCGCUUAUGCGGUGUUAGCAGCCGUUUCCGGCUGUUACUCCCCCGGUAUGGGGCAGGUUGCCCACGCGUUACUCCACCCGUCCGCCACUAGGCCGCGGGGUCUCCGUCCCCGAGGGACUUCCUCCCCGCCGCCCCGUUCGCUUGCAUGUGUUAAGCACGCCGCCAGCGUUCAUCCUGACGCCAGGACUCAAACUCU